GAUGAACGCUGGCGGCGUGCCUAAUACAUGCAAGUCGAGCGAAUGGAUUAAGAGCUUGCUCUUAUGAAGUUAGCGGCGGACGGGUGAGUAACACGUGGGUAACCUGCCCACAAGACUGGGAUAACUCCGGGAAACCGGGGCUAAUACCGGAUAACAUUUUGAACCGCAUGGUUCGAAAUUGAAAGGCGGCUUCGGCUGUCACUUAUGGAUGGACCCGCGUCGCAUUAGCUAGUUGGUGAGGUAACGGCCCACCAGGGCAACGAUGCGUAGCCGACCUGAGAGGGUGAUCGGCCACACUGGGACUGAGACACGGCCCAGACUCCUACGGGAGGCAGCAGUAGGGAAUCUUCCGCAAUGGACGAAAGUCUGACGGAGCAACGCCGCGUGAGUGAUGAAGGCUUUCGGGUCGUAAAACUCUGUUGUUAGGGAAGAACAAGUGCUAGUUGAAUAAGCUGGCACCUUGACGGUACCUAACCAGAAAGCCACGGCUAACUACGUGCCAGCCGCCGCAGUAA
RNAcentral lists this ribosomal RNA (515 nucleotides) under uncultured bacterium. RNAcentral describes it as "partial 16S ribosomal RNA". It matches the Rfam family "Bacterial small subunit ribosomal RNA", at positions 28 to 523 of the family's 1533-position model. The record is from RNAcentral.